This 497-nucleotide ribosomal RNA is filed under the name uncultured bacterium. RNAcentral's name for it is "partial 16S ribosomal RNA". It matches the Rfam family "Bacterial small subunit ribosomal RNA", at positions 28 to 507 of the family's 1533-position model. The record is from RNAcentral.
GAUGAACGCUGGCGGCGUGCCUAAUACAUGCAAGUCGAGCGAACAGACGAGGAGCUUGCUCCUCUGACGUUAGCGGCGGACGGGUGAGUAACACGUGGAUAACCUACCUAUAAGACUGCGAUAACUUCGGGAAACCGUAGCUAAUACCGGAUAAUAUAUUGAACCGCAUGGUUCAAUAGUGAAAGACGGUUUUGCUGUCACUUAUAGAUGGAUCCGCGCCGCAUUAGCUAGUUGGUAAGGUAACGGCUUACCAAGGCAACGAUGCGUAGCCGACCUGAGAGGGUGAUCGGCCACACUGGAACUGAGACACGGUCCAGACUCCUACGGGAGGCAGCAGUAGGGAAUCUUCCGCAAUGGGCGAAAGCCUGACGGAGCAACGCCGCGUGAGUGAUGAAGGUCUUCGGAUCGUAAAACUCUGUUAUUAGGGAAGAACAAAUGUGUAAGUAACUAUGCACGUCUUGACGGUACCUAAUCAGAAAGCCACGGCUAACUACGUG